Molecule: ribosomal RNA, 303 nt
Filed under: Triticum aestivum (bread wheat)
Lineage: Eukaryota; Viridiplantae; Streptophyta; Magnoliopsida; Poales; Poaceae
Description: partial small subunit ribosomal RNA
Source: RNAcentral
AUGUACCCUAAAAGAAAAGACACAAGCAUGGCAAUUAAGUUUCAGUGGGGACAUAUCCAAAAUAAAAAGUUGUCAUGGCAAGAAUGCAAUAAAUCUAUAAUGUACCCUAAACAAAAGACACAAGCAUGGCAAUUAAGUUUCGAUGGGGACAUAUCCAAAAUCAAAAGUUGUCAUGGCAAAAAGAAUGUGAUAAUCUGUAAUGUAAUGUACCCUAAAGAAAAGACACAAGCAUGGCAAUUAAGUUUCAAUGGGGACAUAUCCAAAAUCAAAAGUUGCCAUGGCAAGAAUGCAAUAAAUCUAUAA